RNAcentral lists this ribosomal RNA (301 nucleotides) under uncultured bacterium. RNAcentral describes it as "partial 16S ribosomal RNA". It matches the Rfam family "Bacterial small subunit ribosomal RNA", at positions 509 to 807 of the family's 1533-position model. The record is from RNAcentral.
CAGUAGCCACGGUAAAACGAAGGGUGCAAGCGUUAAUCGGAAUUACUGGGCGUAAAGCGUGCGUAGGCGGUUUGUUAAGUCUGUUGUGAAAUCCCCGGGCUUAACCUGGGAACUGCGCUUGUGACUGCACAGCUAGAGUAUGGCAGAGGGGGGUGGAAUUCCACGUGUAGCAGUGAAAUGCGUAGAGAUGUGGAGGAACACCGAUGGCGAAGGCAGCCCCCUGGGCCAAUACUGACGCUCAUGCACGAAAGCGUGGGGAGCAAACAGGAUUAGAUACCCCCGUAGUCCCUGUCUCUUAUAC